Molecule: long non-coding RNA, 398 nt
Filed under: Equus caballus (horse)
Lineage: Eukaryota; Metazoa; Chordata; Mammalia; Perissodactyla; Equidae
Description: lncRNA (ENSECAG00000047985.1)
Source: RNAcentral
GAUUAGUACACGUCUGCUCUGUUGAUGAGCUGGUGACAUCGGAUGAGUAACUGUUUCAGUGUGCGGAAAGUUAUGCGGCCACUGCAUGCAACUGUUGCAAGGACUGCCCUAAUUCCCAAGUAUCUCCUGAGUCAGGAGUGGGAACAUGAAGAAAAGAGAAGAAAAAGAAAGAAGACAGCAGUCCCAACAGUAUACAAGGUGAUUUAUAGGCAUCGCUUCAUGUAAUUGUCACAAGACCCUGCACGGAUUGGAAUAGUGUCCUAUCAAUAAUGCCUAUUUUAUAUUGGAGAAAAUAAGCACAAGUGGAUAUAAGUGUAGCUUUCUGGGGUUUUUUCAUUGGAUCAAAAAGUACUAGGAUGAAUUCGUCAUCUCUACGACAGACCUUCCUCCCUCUACCC